RNAcentral lists this ribosomal RNA (497 nucleotides) under uncultured bacterium. RNAcentral describes it as "partial 16S ribosomal RNA". It matches the Rfam family "Bacterial small subunit ribosomal RNA", at positions 28 to 507 of the family's 1533-position model. The record is from RNAcentral.
GAUGAACGCUGGCGGCGUGCCUAAUACAUGCAAGUCGAGCGAACAGACGAGGAGCUUGCUCCUCUGACGUUAGCGGCGGACGGGUGAGUAACACGUGGAUAACCUACCUAUAAGACUGGGAUAACUUCGGGAAACCGGAGCUAAUACCGGAUAAUAUAUUGAACCGCAUGGUUCAAUAGUGAAAGACAGUUUUGCUGUCACUUAUAAAUGGAUCCGCGCCGCAUUAGCUAGUUGGUAAGGUAACGGCUUACCAAGGCAACGAUGCGUAGCCGACCUGAGAGGGUGAUCGGCCACACUGGAACUGAGACACGGUCCAGACUCCUACGGGAGGCAGCAGUAGGGAAUCUUCCGCAAUGGGCGAAAGCUUGACGGAGCAACGCCGCGUGAGUGAUGAAGGUCUUCGGAUCGUAAAACUCUGUUAUUAGGGAAGAACAAAUGUGUAAGUAACUAUGCACGUCUUGACGGUACCUAAUCAGAAAGCCACGGCUAACUACGUG